CCCUUUCCGGUUGAUCCUGGCGGAGGUCACUGCUAUCGGGGUUCGACUAAGCCAUGCAAGUCGAGAGGGGUAAAGCCCUCGGCGAACUGCUCAGUAACACGUGGAUAACCUGACCUAGGGUGGAGGAUAACCCCGGGAAACUGGGGAUAAUACUCCAUAGGCUACGGAAGCUGGAAUGCUCUGUAACCCAAAGCUCCGGCGCCCUAGGAUGGGUCUGCGGCCGAUUAGGUUGUUGUUGGGGUAACGGCCCAACAAGCCGAUCAUCGGUACGGGUUGUGGGAGCAAGAGCCCGGAGAUGGAUUCUGAGACAUGAAUCCAGGCCCUACGGGGCGCAGCAGGCGCGAAAACUUUACAAUGCGGGAAACCGUGAUAAGGGGACCCCGAGUGCCUGUACACGCAGGCUGUUCAGGUGUUUAAAACGCAUCUGGAGAAAGGGCCGGGCAAGACCGGUGCCAGCCGCCGCGGUAAUACCGGCGGCUCGAGUGGUGGCCACUAUUACUGGGCUUAAAGCGUCCGUAGCCGGGUUGUUAAGUCUCCCGGGAAAUCCAACGGCUCAACCGUUGGGCGUUCGGGGGAUACUGGCAAUCUAGGGACUGGGGGAGGUGAGAGGUACUCUAGGGGUAGGAGUGAAAUCCUGUAAUCCUUGGGGGACCACCUGUGGCGAAGGCGUCUCACCAGAACAGCUCCGACGGUGAGGGACGAAAGCUGGGGGAGCAAACCGGAUUAGAUACCCGGGUAGUCCCAGCUGUAAACGAUGCGCGUUAGGUGUAUCGGUGACUACGAGUCACCGAGGUGCCGAAGGGAAACCGUGAAACGUGCCGCCUGGGAAGUACGGCCGCAAGGCUGAAACUUAAAGGAAUUGGCGGGGGAGCACCACAACGGGUGGAGCCUGCGGUUUAAUUGGACUCAACGCCGGGAAGCUCACCGGGUAAGACAGCGGAGUGAUAGCCAGGCUGAAGACUUUGCUUGACCAGCUGAGAGGAGGUGCAUGGCCGUCGUCAGUUCGUACUGUGAAGCAUCCUGUUAAGUCAGGCAACGAGCGAGACCCA
RNAcentral lists this ribosomal RNA (1049 nucleotides) under uncultured archaeon. RNAcentral's name for it is "bacterial SSU rRNA". It matches the Rfam family "Archaeal small subunit ribosomal RNA", at positions 1 to 1054 of the family's 1478-position model. The record is from RNAcentral.